AGCAUAUCAAUAAGCGGAGGAAAAGAAACCAACAGGGAUUGCCCUAGUAACGGCGAGUGAAGCGGCAACAGCUCAAAUUUGAAAUCUGGCCUCGGCCCGAGUUGUAAUUUGUAGAGGAAGCUUUAGGCGCGGCACCUUCUGAGUCCCCUGGAACGGGGCGCCACAGAGGGUGAGAGCCCCGUAUAGUUGGAUGCCUAGCCUGUGUAAAGCUCCUUCGACGAGUCGAGUAGUUUGGGAAUGCUGCUCAAAAUGGGAGGUAAAUUUCUUCUAAAGCUAAAUACCGGCCAGAGACCGAUAGCGCACAAGUAGAGUGAUCGAAAGAUGAAAAGCACUUUGAAAAGAGGGUUAAAUAGCACGUGAAAUUGUUGAAAGGGAAGCGCUUGUGACCAGACUUGCGCCGGGCGGAUCAUCCGGUGUUCUCACCGGUGCACUCCGCCCGGCUCAGGCCAGCAUCGGUUCUCGCGGGGGGAUAAAGGCCCCGGGAACGUAGCUCCUCCGGGAGUGUUAUAGCCCGGGGCGUAAUGUCCUCGCGGGGACCGAGGACCGCGCAUCUGCAAGGAUGCUGGCGUAAUGGUCACCAGCGACCCGUCUUGAAACACGGACCAAGGAGUCAAGGUUUUGCGCGAGUGUUUGGGUGUAAAACCCGCACGCGUAAUGAAAGUGAACGUAGGUGAGAGCUUCGGCGCAUCAUCGACCGAUCCUGAUGUAUUCGGAUGGAUUUGAGUAGGAGCGUUAAGCCUUGGACCCGAAAGAUGGUGAACUAUGCUUGGAUAGGGUGAAGCCAGAGGAAACUCUGGUGGAGGCUCGCAGCGGUUCUGACGUGCAAAUCGAUCGUCAAAUCUGAGCAUGGGGGCGAAAGACUAAUCGAACCAUCUAGUAGCUGGUUACCGCCGAAG
Molecule: ribosomal RNA, 896 nt
Filed under: Achaetomiella virescens
Lineage: Eukaryota; Fungi; Ascomycota; Sordariomycetes; Sordariales; Chaetomiaceae
Description: LSU rRNA
Rfam family: Eukaryotic large subunit ribosomal RNA
Source: RNAcentral